ACGGCGGACGGGUGAGUAACGCGUGGGUAACCUACCCUGUACACACGGAUAACAUACCGAAAGGUAUGCUAAUACGGGAUAAUAUAUUUGAGAGGCAUCUCUUAAAUAUCAAAGGUGAGCCAGUACAGGAUGGGCCCGCGUCUGAUUAGCUAGUUGGUAAGGUAACGGCUUACCAAGGCGACGAUCAGUAGCCGACCUGAGAGGGUGAUCGGCCACAUUGGAACUGAGACACGGUCCAA
This 239-nucleotide ribosomal RNA is filed under the name uncultured bacterium. RNAcentral's name for it is "partial 16S ribosomal RNA". It matches the Rfam family "Bacterial small subunit ribosomal RNA", at positions 95 to 334 of the family's 1533-position model. The record is from RNAcentral.